GCAAGCCGAAGGGCAGCUAACGGUUUUUCGUAAACUGAGGAAACUCCAUCCAUCAUACAGAACCGUGGUGUCAGAAGGCAUACGCUGAGAAGCGGGACCAUGGAGCAGAAACGACACGUCUUCUGAUGAAUGAACAUGAUGCGAAGCUGAUGACAUCAGAAGGAACGGUGAGACGGCCAUUCCACGGGAUGCAAGGGUAAAUACUACUUAUGAGUCCUGUACGAAGUAGAGGUAAUCCGCAUAGAUGAAUGCUGCUUAAACAGAAGGUGGGUUACUCUCGGCAUGU
RNAcentral lists this RNase P RNA (286 nucleotides) under Methanobacterium spitsbergense. RNAcentral's name for it is "RNase P RNA component". It matches the Rfam family "Archaeal RNase P". From Rfam's summary of the family: Ribonuclease P (RNase P) is a ubiquitous endoribonuclease, found in archaea, bacteria and eukarya as well as chloroplasts and mitochondria. Its best characterised activity is the generation of mature 5'-ends of tRNAs by cleaving the 5'-leader elements of precursor-tRNAs. Cellular RNase Ps are ribonucleoproteins. The record is from RNAcentral. Lineage: Archaea; Methanobacteriati; Methanobacteriota; Methanobacteria; Methanobacteriales; Methanobacteriaceae.